UACGAAGGGGGCUAGCGUUGCUCGGAAUUACUGGGCGUAAAGGGCGCGUAGGCGGUCUUGUAAGUCCCGUGUGAAAUCCCUCGGCUCAACUGAGGAACCGCACGGGAAACUGCUUGGCUUGAGUUCGGGAGAGGGAAGCGGAAUUCCGGGUGUAGCGGUGAAAUGCGUAGAUAUCCGGAGGAACACCGGUGGCGAAGGCGGCUUCCUGGACCGACACUGACGCUGAGGCGCGAAAGCCAGGGGAGCAAACGGG
Molecule: ribosomal RNA, 253 nt
Filed under: uncultured bacterium
Lineage: Bacteria
Description: partial 16S ribosomal RNA
Rfam family: Bacterial small subunit ribosomal RNA
Source: RNAcentral